Long non-coding RNA from Solenopsis invicta (red fire ant), 2872 nucleotides. RefSeq lists it as uncharacterized. NCBI's taxonomy places the organism in Eukaryota, Metazoa, Arthropoda, Insecta, Hymenoptera, Formicidae. The transcript is spliced from 3 exons. The record is from RefSeq and is a predicted model, not a curated record.
AAAUAAAGCGAAUAGCGCUAGUUGGUCAAUAACAUCGCAAGCGUUUUGCAAGGUACUAUGCGAUCUUCAUAUCAAGAUCAUAUCGUUGGACUCACCAUUGUGCCGGUAAUUUGUUGGACCGCCAAUUUCGUGCGACUCCGAUCGACCGAAGCUUGAUCGUCGUGUGAUCGUCGCGUGAGCAACGGCGUCAAUGAUCCAUCGCCCGUCGGUCGAUCGUAUUUUUUGAUCUGCGGGUGUUUGUUUUCAGACUCAAUUCGUACGUUUAUCAGUAUACGUGACAACAUGGACGUAAUAAUCGUUCGGAGACAUGCGUGUGUCGCGUGUUAGCAACGACUCUGACCAACCGGUCGAAAAGUUAUGUUACGCAUCGCGCCGCGGCAUGAUAAAGGUAACCGCGCGUACUUCUGCGAUCGAGAUUUGUCGUCUACCGUGAAGUGCCGUCGAGGAUGUUGCGCGACUGUCGAGGUGAUUAUUGCUAAGUAGUAAUGUUUUCGUAAGUGACUGCCAUAAAAAAGCAAUAAGCAGGAACAAGAGAGGAGGAGGAGAAUCUGGCAGGCACCAAGCAAUAGCGGGGCAACACGAGACUACGACGUUGAAAACUCCGCUGCUGCGCAUCGUGUGUCGAAAACUGAAUAGUCUAGCGUCGAUGGCGAUAGAGUUCGCAAUUUUCCACCGCGGUAUCGUAGGAUCAUCCGUUUCAAACAUUUCCAUGGCGCCGUGUCUGGAGUCGUUAUUAGUGCUACUAUCUAUAUUAGUCUAAUGAUGACGCGUAUACCAUGUUUUUCCUUAUCGAUCGAGAACGUCUAGAGGAUAAGCAAUAGCAUUCUUGGAAAAUUCCUUUCUGGUAUUGAUUAAUUAAGAAUGGCACCGCCUCGUGUGGGAGCAGACUGUUGUUUCGUUCGUUUACGCGUCGGGUAGGGUCCAAGUUCAGUGCCCGACUUGGCUCUCUAUAACCGGGAGGAAGCAACAGAAUUUUUUCUCCAUGUUCUUUUUCUUAUCGUUGGCGCCAGCAAUAGCUUAAGUGUUCUCAUUAAUCGUACUCGCUGGACUUGUCGCGAAAUACGUUACGAAUGAAAGGUGUCGGCGGCAUGCGAACGCCAUACGUUUUAAAAAUAUUCAUUGACUUCUAAUUUGCUGCGGGAGUUAAUUAAACGCGUGCGAUGCGUAAUGUGCAAAAAAAAGCGACAUAAGCUACGUAACGUCCCUAUCCGUAAUUAAACAUCUUUUACUUUGCAAUUAAAAACAGUUGUACCCCCAAUUUUUCUUAUCUUUAAUUUAUAAUUGGGGACGGAAUCGUUAUUAUAGCGAUUAUUCUCGAUCAAACGUUAGUUUCAUUCUCGGCAAACCGGUCGUGUAUUAAUGGAAACCGAGGCCUGGCUACACUUGGAUAGAUUUUCUCGUAAUGCAGCAGCCAAUGAUCUUUUUAUAAAAUUGUGUCAGGUCACAGAGAGGAGCGUGUAUUCCGAGAAAUGGUGUAGAAUGUAUUUUGCAAUUUUAGACACUUGUGGCUCGAGCUCAGCGUUUUAUAUGGAAAGUCAUUAACACCGCGCUAAAUCGAUGUUUUGAAACUUGAUAAGAAAAAUACUGAUUAGAAAAGACGACAGCGAUUCACAUUUCGUCUAUAACGGCGAUCGCGGGUAAACAGGAAGAGAAUCAAAACUACUAUUUAGAUAAAAGUAAUAAGGCGGACCUCGAAAAAGUUAUCAAUCUGAUGAUUCAACAAAUGUUUGUCGGACACGUGUCAACAAAAAAAUAUGAAGAAUCAGUUCCCUCUUACAGAAAAAUCUUAAAUGACUAUACUAAAUUGCAAAAAUAUUCUUAACCCUGACUCCCUACACAUGAGUCUGACGGACCCUGCGAGUAUUCAUUUUUUGCGAUUUUGGAUAAUACAAGUUAAAAACAAAUGUAAUUACUUGAGAAUAAAAUAUUUUUGAUUCGGGUCUUGUUGUCGUUUUUUUUUAGACUCUCAGAUAUCAAUUUUAUAUAUUAUAUUAUGAAUUAAAAAAUAUGCUUUUUGUUCAGAGAUAUAGCAUGUCAAAGUUACAGGAUCCCAUAAACCCAUAAGUGGGUAGGAAAAUAACCAAAAAUAUGUGUGGGAAGCUAGAGUUAAACUUGUAAAAUGUCAUUUUAAUUGCACCUCAUGUAUUCCUAAUUAUUUCUUUCAUUUUUUUCAUCUAAAUUAUUUCUUUAGUAGUUAUAUCCAAUUGCUAUUUGUAUUUCCAUUCGAAGAAUUAGAGCUGCAAUUAGAUGUCUGUUCGUUUUCGCAUGAAAAGCGUAACCUUUAUUAAGGGGUGACAUCAACCCGGAUUCGUCGGGUUAAACUCAAAAUAGCUCAUCGCGACGCGCUGGUCAAGAAAUAAAACAUUUUUCAUUGCUGGAACAUAAGUUGCUAUAUAAACCGAGCCGUGAACCGACUUUACGUCUCGUCGUACGUCAAAAGAUUCAUAAAGCGAAUAUGGCUUUUCAGAAGCGCGAGCAUUCUGUCGUAUCUUUAGUGUGGAAUAUUGAAAAAGCAGGAUUUACACAUCUGCCAAAGACUGGAAGUCGUGCUCAUUAAAUGCUCGCGUAACGAGCGAGGGAGGAAAGAAGAAGUGGAAAGGAGGAGUGUAACGGUGUUUUGUCUUUCUCUUAUUAGCUCAUAAACAGUGCAGUCGGUAUAUCAGCUGGUUGCCCAAUUUAGCGAACAGCCAUCGACUUCUUUAUCAGCUUUUUUUGCCCUCUACAAAACACCUCCCGCCGAUUAUUGUGGACGGUUAUCGCGAACUUGCAUUUAGUCAAGGUAAUUUAAUAAGGACCAGCUAUUAUCUUUCCACCCGAUCGUAGAAUACCUUUUUAUUCUUUCCAUCGAAUCCCCACACACUCACAUAAAAGA